AAAACAGAUGAAGGAAAAAUUUUUGAGGCAUGCCUUUUAUGCACCUUGUGCCAGGCCUAAGGUUUGUGUUUGAGUGAUAUCACCUGCCUUUAGCAGGUGAAGGAGCUCAGGGUUGCACCUUAGGCGCCCGGCGCCCCAUUGUAAUAACCAUGUAGAUGUAUAAAACAGAUCCAGCUACUAAAUAUUUCAUCAUGCUUCUCACAUAGAACCAGUACUUGGGAACAAAAGUUUGAUGACAUGAAUAAACCAACACAAAAGAGAAAUUAAAGCAAACUUUAAAAACUAUCAAACAAAAGAAGCUUUUCAUAUUUAUCUAAUUUUAUAGACUCCUUAAUCAUAUCGCGAGUGAGCCAACAUUAUUUCCCUUUUUUAAGAAUUAAUAUUGUUAAUUUAACAUCAUGAAGAGAACUUCAAACUAGGAAGUGUACAUAUAUAUAUAUACGUGUGUGUGUGUGU
This 456-nucleotide unclassified non-coding RNA is filed under the name Hevea brasiliensis (rubber tree). The record is from RNAcentral. Lineage: Eukaryota; Viridiplantae; Streptophyta; Magnoliopsida; Malpighiales; Euphorbiaceae.